CGGUUAACGGAGCGAAAGCGACGUUCAACCGCAAAAGAAGCAGAGGGGGCUUAGUGGUGGGGUGACUGCGUACCUUUUGUAUAAUGGGUCAGCGACUUAUAUUCUGUAGCAAGGUUAACCGAAUAGGGGAGCCGGAGGGAAACCGAGUCUUAAUUGGGCGUUAAGUUGCAGGGUAUAGACCCGAAACCCGGUGAUCUAGCCAUGGGCAGGUUGAAGGUUGGGUAACACUAACUGGAGGACCGAACCGACUAAUGUUGAAAAAUUAGCGGAUGACCUGUGGCUGGGGGUGAAAGGCCAAUCAAACCGGGAGAUAGCUGGUUCUCCCCGAAAGCUAUUUAGGUAGCGCCUCGUGAAUUCAUCUCCGGGGGUAGAGCACUGUUUCGGCUAGGGGGCCAUCCCGGCUUACCAACCCGAUGCAAACUGCGAAUACCGGAGAAUGUUAUCACGGGAGACACACGGCGGGUGCUAACGUCCGUCGUGAAGAGGGAAACAACCCAGACCGCCAGCUAAGGUCCCAAAGUCAUGGUUAAGUGGGAAACGAUGUGGGAAGGCCCAGACAGCCAGGAUGUUGGCUUAGAAGCAGCCAUCAUUUAAAGAAAGCGUAAUAGCUCACUGGUCGAGUCGGCCUGCGCGGAAGAUGUAACGGGGCUAAACCAUG
Molecule: ribosomal RNA, 658 nt
Filed under: Salmonella enterica subsp. enterica serovar Montevideo
Lineage: Bacteria; Pseudomonadati; Pseudomonadota; Gammaproteobacteria; Enterobacterales; Enterobacteriaceae
Description: partial 23S ribosomal RNA
Rfam family: Bacterial large subunit ribosomal RNA
Source: RNAcentral